GCGCUUAACACAUGCAAGUCGCACGAGAAAGUGGAGCAAUCCAUGAGUACAGUGGCGAACGGGUGAGUAACACGUGGGUAAUCUACCUCUUAGUGGGGAAUAACCCUGGGAAACCGGGGCUAAUACCGCAUAAGCCUGAGAAGGGAAAGCAGCAAUGCGCUGAGAGAGGAGCCCGCGGCCGAUUAGCUAGUUGGUGGGGUAAGAGCCCACCAAGGCAGAGAUCGGUAGCCGGCCUGAGAGGGCACACGGCCACACUGGCACUGAAACACGGGCCAG
This 276-nucleotide ribosomal RNA is filed under the name uncultured bacterium. Its description in RNAcentral is "partial 16S ribosomal RNA". It matches the Rfam family "Bacterial small subunit ribosomal RNA", at positions 44 to 334 of the family's 1533-position model. The record is from RNAcentral.